Molecule: long non-coding RNA, 974 nt
Filed under: Cervus hanglu yarkandensis (Yarkand deer)
Lineage: Eukaryota; Metazoa; Chordata; Mammalia; Artiodactyla; Cervidae
Description: lncRNA (ENSCHYG00000019824.1)
Source: RNAcentral
CUACCGGCGGCCGACCAAUAGCGAGGCACGCCGGCCUUGCGCUUGCACGUCGGCCGCGGCGCCCGACGCAGGCGCGGCUCCGGGCGGCCUGGAAAACCCGGGAUGGAGCGGGGAGGCCGCGGAGCCGACGCGCGGCACCGCGGCGCGCAGUGCCGCGCGUGGGGCGAGGGCGGGAGCGGGGCUGGGGUCAAGGUCGGCGCGGGCAAGCGGCAGGGGCCCGCACGCGCCUCACCUGGCCCAGCGCUUUGCAGCUGCUGUCACGCGUGCACACUCAGGCUUGGUCGGAGCCUGCCGCGUGCUGGCAGCUGAAAUCCAGGCGUUUCCACGGUUGCAGUGGCUGUGAGACCCCAGCAGUAUGCACCACGUGCAGGGAACCCAAGCCGGAAGGUAUGAAGAGGGUGAGCUUGUCCCAUUGCACUGAUGUGUCUCAAGGAUGUCCCUACUAUGUAGACAUAAAGCUCCUUGAUGAAAAGAUGGACAAUGCCUGGCAAGUGGAAAUGACCUUGAGCUGUAUGUCUGACUCACUCCCAGUGAUGGACACUCAGCACGAAGCUGCCUCAGGAAAUCAGGCCACUCCAUCCAUCUGACUGGGCUGCCAGGCGCCACUUUCAUCUCUGUCCUUGACUGGGGGUAGCCUGUCCAUCUCGACAAGAUAGAAACAGCACUUUGAAUUGCAUGGAAAAAAUGUACUCUACAGAGAGGAGACAAAUACUCUUCUUUUGGCCAAGCUUUUAGAGGAAAUAUAAGGUAUGUUCAUUAAAAUAUGUCCCUGCUGAUAAUCAGCACUGGAAAUUCAAAAGGUGUUACCUUGAAUAAAUGUUAUUUUUCACAUUUCUCACUGUCUUCUUUAUAAAAAAUACAAAUACUAUGGAGUAAAUUUCAUAUUACCAUAAACUUUUUGCUACCCAGGAUUCUGAGAUGAAUGAAAUAAUCUAUUUGGGGACUUCCCUGGUGGUCCAGUGGUUAAGACUCUG